This 579-nucleotide ribosomal RNA is filed under the name uncultured bacterium. RNAcentral describes it as "bacterial SSU rRNA". It matches the Rfam family "Bacterial small subunit ribosomal RNA", at positions 396 to 969 of the family's 1533-position model. The record is from RNAcentral.
CCCGCGUGGAGGAUGAAGGUCUUCGGAUUGUAAACUCCUGUCAUGAGGGAGUAAGACACAGCGUUAACUGCGUAUGUGUUUGAUAUACCUCAAGAGGAAGAGACGGCUAACUCUGUGCCAGCAGCCGCGGUAAUACAGAGGUCUCAGGCGUUGUUCGGAUUCAUUGGGCGUAAAGGGUGCGUAGGUGGCAAGGCAAGUCUGAUGUGAAAUCCCCGGGCUCAACCUGGGAACUGCAUUUGAUACUGCCGUGCUCGAGUGCUGGAGGGGAGACUGGAAUUCACGGUGUAGCAGUGAAAUGCGUAGAUAUCGUGAGGAAGACCGGUGGCGAAGGCGAGUCUCUGGACAGCAACUGACACUGAGGCACGAAGGCUAGGGGAGCAAACGGGAUUAGAUACCCCGGUAGUCCUAGCAGUAAACGGUGCGCGUUUGGUAUGGGGGGAUCGACCCCUUCCGUGCCGGAGCUAACGCGUUAAACGCGCCGCCUGGGGAGUACGGUCGCAAGAUUAAAACUCAAAGAAAUUGACGGGGGCCCGCACAAGCGGUGGAGUAUGUGGCUUAAUUCGAUGCAACGCGAAGAAC